This 267-nucleotide long non-coding RNA is filed under the name Gossypium raimondii (Peruvian cotton). RNAcentral describes it as "long non-coding RNA (GRAI_LNC007703)". The record is from RNAcentral. Lineage: Eukaryota; Viridiplantae; Streptophyta; Magnoliopsida; Malvales; Malvaceae.
AAAUGAAGUGAAAUCACAAGACAUACUCAUAUGGGGGCUAGCAAAAAUAUUCCUCCCUUUUGUUUAACUUUUCUCUUCACUCGUUUCUUUUGCACUUUCUUUUAUUUCUCUCUUGUUUCCCUCUUUUUCAUUUUUAAUUUCUUUUUCAAAGUUCUUUUCUUGCUCAUACUUUUCUUUCUCUUUUCUUUCAAUUUCAAUUUCUUUUUCUUUUUCUUUUUCUUUUUCAUUUUUCUCUUCUCGUUUUUCUUUUACCUCACUUGUUUUUAC